Molecule: ribosomal RNA, 301 nt
Filed under: uncultured bacterium
Lineage: Bacteria
Description: partial 16S ribosomal RNA
Rfam family: Bacterial small subunit ribosomal RNA
Source: RNAcentral
CAGCCGCCACGGUAAUACGUAGGGUGCAAGCGUUAAUCGGAAUUACUGGGCGUAAAGCGUGCGCAGGCGGUCCGCUAAGACAGAUGUGAAAUCCCCGGGCUUAACCUGGGGACUGCAUUUGUGACUGGCGGGCUAGAGUAUGGCAGAGGGGGGUAGAAUUCCACGUGUAGCAGUGAAAUGCGUAGAGAUGUGGAGGAAUACCGAUGGCGAAGGCAGCCCCCUGGGCCAAUACUGACGCUCAUGCACGAAAGCGUGGGGAGCAAACAGGAUUAGAUACCCGUGUAGUCCCUGUCUCUUAACA